GACGAACGCUGGCGGCGUGCUUAACACAUGCAAGUCGAACGGAAAGGCCCUGCUUUUGUGGGGUGCUCGGGUGGCGAACGGGUGAGUAACACGUGAGUAACCUGCCCUUGACUUUGGGAUAACUUCAGGAAACUGGGGCUAAUACCGGAUAGGAGCUCCUGCUGCAUGGUGGGGGUUGGAAAGUUUCGGCGGUUGGGGAUGGACUCGCGGCUUAUCAGCUUGUUGGUGGGGUAGUGGCUUACCAAGGCUUUGACGGGUAGCCGGCCUGAGAGGGUGACCGGCAACAUUGGGACUGAGAUACGGCCCAGACUCCUACGGGAGGAAGCAGUGGGGAAUAUUGCACAAUGGGCGGAAGCCUGAUGCAGCAACGCCGCGUGCGGGAUGACGGCCUUCGGGUUGUAAACCGCUUUCGCCUGUGACGAAGCGUGAGUGACGGUAAUGGGGAAAGAAGCACCGGCUAACUACGU
This 467-nucleotide ribosomal RNA is filed under the name uncultured bacterium. RNAcentral's name for it is "partial 16S ribosomal RNA". It matches the Rfam family "Bacterial small subunit ribosomal RNA", at positions 28 to 506 of the family's 1533-position model. The record is from RNAcentral.